Molecule: RNA transcript, 13600 nt
Organism: Symphalangus syndactylus (siamang)
Lineage: Eukaryota; Metazoa; Chordata; Mammalia; Primates; Hylobatidae
Source: RefSeq, a predicted model, not a curated record
UUUUGAGACGGAAUCUCGCUCUGUCGCCCAGACUGGAGUGCAGUGGCGCAAUCUCGGCUCACUGCAAGCUCCGCCUCCCAGGUUCACGCCAUUCUCCUGCCUCAGCCUCUCCGAGUAGCUGGGACUACAGGCGCCCGCCACCACGCCCGGCUAAUUUUUUUUUUGUAUUUUUAGUAGAGACGGGGUUUCACCGUGGUCUCGAUCUCCUGACCUCAUGAUCCGCCCGCCUCGGCCUCCCAAAGUGCUCGGAUUACAAGCGUGAGCCACCGCGCCCGGCCUGGGGAGCGCUUCUUGAACAGGCACUGGGCUAGACAGCCCAGACCUCGCAGAAACAGAGGGGAAGGGGCCGCUCCUGGGGAUUUUUUUCCCAGCCUCCCUGGGCGGGUGAGGGGUCCUGGAGUCCUGAACUGGAGAUGCUGCUUAGAGGGCACUGCUUCAGCCACCGCUGCCUUAGCAUACGUACGGGUCCCGCCCGCAGGGGUCCUUCCACACCAGCUCAGCGUCUGGGUUCCGCCAUCCACCCACGCACUCAUUUGGCAGAUGUCAACGGAGUAUUCACAGUGCGCUGCUCCACUGUGCUAACCGCGGAGGAUAGAGUUGAGACCCACACGACAGCCCCUGCGCUCACAGAACUGAUGUCUCUAAAAGAGUCUUCCCCCAGUGAGAACGUUCUGAUUUCUAGAACAUUCUUCCUUCUGAUGAGUGAACAGCCUCACUGGAACUUCCCCAUCCUCCUGGCUUGGUUCCUGAAGUGGCCCAACGCUGCCUUCUCCCUCCGAAUAAAAGACAACUGUGUUGGAAGAUUGCCAAGGUUUGUAGCUGUGCCACCGCAGACUUCAGAGAUGAACACUGCCUUGGAGACGGGGAGGAUUCAAGUUGCAGAAGCACUUAGGUAAAGUCACUGGAAGUCACUUUGAAAGACUUGUGCCUCAUUGAAAAAGACACAUCUCUGCAUGGUUUUCAUCCAUUUGCUUCAUCUCCAAGACAAGCUUUCUUUUUAAGUUGGUUGAACCUGGGCAUGCAGAACCUGUGGAUAUGGAGGGAUGAUUGUAUUUACCUUUUGGUGCUGCAGAAUCUUUUAUAAAAUGCCUCAGAAUCCAUUGUGGACCAGUUCUGGGUUUACCUGUCUCUGCAUGCACAUGGGAGCACACCCCGGAGAAGGAGGCCGCUGACAUCAUGUAGACACCGCAAACAGGGUCAACUCCAGCCUUCAUGGCAAGCCUGUGACGGUGUGCCUGUGGCAAUGAACCAGCUCUGAGAAAUGUAGUGGAGUCAAGAGCCACCAGCAGAUAAUUUGGAUUCAACACGAGCUCACCAGGUAAGAUGUGCCUUUUGCUUUCUGCCAUGAUUGUGAGGCCUCCCCAGCCACCUGGAACUAAACCUCAAACGUGAGACGUGGUGGGAAAUCAGGAAGACAUGAGGCUUUGCUCAACACUGGAGAACACCAAUUCUUUUCAGUUUGUAUGCAUCUUUAUCAGGAAAAUGAUCAUUCAGAGACCUGAAGGAAGACUCGUGUUGGAGCCUAAGGUGGAAAUAUAAAGGAUUAAGCACCAGAAUCCACCAGGUUGAAGUGGUCAGAAAUCUUCAGUUGGGCACGUUGAUCCAUCACAUCAGAAAAUCUGGAAGUGACGUCAAGAAAGCUUUUAGCAAAGUCAUCAGGGGUUCUUACUCACGUCAAGUCUGAGAUGCAGUGAUUCCCAAGUGGCCUUUCUGACAACUCUGGAUGAGAGGGCCUGGUUCCUGCACGGGAUGCUUUGGAUUGGGUUGUCCUCAGGUGCAUCUGAACUUGUGAAUUAGAGUUGGCAGCUAAGAAAACCAAGAGAGGAAAAUACACCAUUCAGAAAGACUCCUCACCUCCUCUCCUCCAUCCUGCCAGGGCCAAUGUGGCCAGAAGCCCAAUUUUACCCAUUUAAUGGAGAAGAUGGAAAGUGUCUGGGCAUUUUGUCACUGUGAGUAUGAAGAAAAAAUAGUGAUUUUCCCAUCUGAGUACUUCUUUGAGGAACGUUCAGUUUAGUGGAGUUCUUAGAUGUUCCCUGGAUUCAUUCAUUUGUUCCUCCAUCCAUUCUUUCAUGCAUUCAGUGAACAUGCAUUAAUUGGCCCUAUGCCAGGACCUGGGCCAGCCAGAGGUGCAAAUGCAUGCCUGUGUGUGUGCACACGCACAGGGCCACACACCACUCUCUUAGCAGCACUGUUUUUAGUACUCCCUGCAGGGAGGAGUCAUGAAUGAUAUUCCAAACGCAAUCCAAAGAUGAACCAAACAGAGCCCGUGUUUAAGUAUGAAGGUGGAUGACCAGAAGGUGCGAUGUGUUAUUCAAUGACAGCAGUGAACCCACCUCUAAAGCAGACUGGCACCAUUCAAGGCUUUCCAGAGGAGGCCACACCUGGACUGGGUUUUGAAGAAAACAGAUGUUGUUUUUGGUGAUGUAAUUUACCAGGAUUGGUGGUCUGAUCUGGAGGAACUGGGAGGUACACACAAGCAAAGAGGCAACAAAGAAAUUAGAAGGUUGUAUAAGAUGCUGCAUAGAAUCACAAUGACUGCGUUGUCCUGAAACCAACCCAGAGAUGUCUUCAAUUUUCAAAGACCACCUGGGUGAGCAGGGGAGAAGACCAGGGUCAGACUCACAGACCUUCCCCUACUGUGUGCUGCCGAGCCUGUACUUUGAGUAAAUUUCAUUUUGAAUCAGCAAAGACAAAAGGCAUUGCUUGGUAGAAGCACAGUGGAUUUAAAAUUAGAAGACCUGGGUUUGCCUUUGCUUCUCCUGGGCAAUUUUUAACACAUUAAGAAUCUUUCCCUAGUGUCCUGCUCUUCUAUCUGCUUGCUGAUUUUCUCUGACGUGUGCUGCAUGUCCACGUGGUCCAGAUCCCUACCCACUUCUCUUCUGUCACUUGGAUUCAGAUAUAACUACCUUUUAGUUAUAAGUACAUAAAAAGGAAACUAUGAACAUAGCCUUUCUAGCUAGCUAUAUUGCUUUCUAGCACUUUUGAAUGACAGAAUUACAUUUUUGUUUAAUCCCAGAGAUUAUCAUGUCACUAAGUUUUUCUUUACAUGUUAAUUUAAAGCUAAGCUUUAAUUGAAAAAGAAAUCUGAUAUUAAAGUAGAAAUUUUCUUGCAUGCAAUUAGAUUCUAUCAAAGACUUAAGAAAUUAUUCAUUUUUAAGGAAAUAAGGAUAUGUUUUAAAAAUACAAAACAUAGGCCGGGCGCGGUGGCUCACGCUUGUAAUCCCAGCACUUUGGGAGGCCGAGGCGGGUGGAUCACGAGGUCAGGAGAUCGAGACCACGGUGAAACCCCGUCUCUACUAAAAAUACAAAAAAUUAGCCAGGCGUGGUGGCGGGCGCCUGUAGUCCCAGCUGCUCAGAGAGGCUGAGGCAGGAGAAUGGCGUGAACCCGGGAGGCAGAGCUUGCAGUGAGCCGAGAUUGCGCCACUGCACUCCAGCCUGGGUGACAGAGCGAGACUCCAUCUCAAAAAAAAAAAAAUACAAAACAUAUAUGGAAACAGUUUGUUAUAGGCUGAAUUGCAUCCCUCCAAGUUCAUAUGUGGAAUUGCUAACUGCCAGUACCUCAGAAUGCGACCUUACUUGGAAAUAGGCUCAUUGCAAAUGCAAUUAGUUAGGAUGAGGUCAUACUGGAGUAGGGUGGGGCCCUAAUCCAAUGUGACUGGUGUUUUUAUGAAAGGGGCAAUGUGGACAUUGACACACAUACACAGUGCACCACAUCAAGACGAAGGCAGAGAUCAGGGUGAUGUAUCUACAAACCAAGGAGCACCAAAGAUGGCCAGAAAAACACCAGAAGCUGGGAGACAAGCAUGGAACAGGUUCUGCCUCACAGCACUCAGAAGAAAGCAAACCUGCCCACACAUUGAUCUUGGACUUCCAGCCCCCAGAACUGUGAGACAAUACAUUUCUGUUGCUUAAACCACCCAGUCUGUGGUAGUUUGUUAUGGCAGCCCUAGCAAACUAAUACAGAUUUUGGUAACAGGAAGUGGGAUGCUUCUGUAACAAAUAGCUAAAAAUGUGGAAGUGGCUUUGGCAUUUGGUAAUGGGUAGAGGUUAGAAGAGUUCUGAGACACUUGACAGAAAAAGCCUGGAUUGCCUGUAGGAGACUGUUGUAGAAAUAUGAUUGUCAAAGGUGCUUCCAGUGAGGCCUCAGAUGGAAAUGAGAAACAUGUUAUACGAAGCUGCAGGAAAGAAGACCUUUGUUACAAAGUACAGUUAACUUGGCUGAACUGUGUUCUACUUUUUGAAAAGUAGAACUUAUAAGGAGUGAAAUAAGAUAUUUAGCUGAGGAUAUUUCUAAGCAAAGUGUUGAAGGCAUGGUCUGGCUUCUUCUUGCUGCUUUUGGUAAAAUGCAAAAGGAGAGAGAUGAAUCAAAGAAGGGACUGCUUGGCAAAAAGAAAUCAGCAUUUAAUGUUUCAGAAGAUUCCCAGCGUAUUCAGAUAGUGUGCUCUGGAAACAGGGCCGAAGCUGUGGCUGGACAACCACUUGCCAGAGAGACUCUGUGUGCCACUUGUGGAUCCAGUCAACCAUCUCAGCAGAAAUGCUGCCGGCUUGGACUGAAGGGACAGAGAUGGGAUGAAAUGAAGAAAGGCUGUCAGGAUUCUGGGGUUCUACAAGCAGGAAAUGGGCUAAUAGAGCUACUCAGCUGCAAACAUGUGUUAUCCUUACAAGAAGGGAGGAAUGUCCUCAAAGGCAGUUCAGGUGCUGGCAAAGCUGCCAUCAGGGCCCAGAGGGCAGCAUCCUUCACCCAGGUGUGGUACAUAAGGCCCCUGUCCCUUGCUGCUUGUGGCUUGUUGAGUCACUGUUGACGUGGUCGGUGAGCACCAGGUCUGGACUCUGUUCUCUCUACCUUGAUCUCCUAGGUUUCAUUCUCAGCUUGGUACCUGGGUUUAUUAUGGGUGCCCAUUUGAUUGGCAUCCUUGGUGGGAUUAGGCCAUUCCUUUUUAUCCUUCUUUACUCUUUUAUGUUUCUGUUUUGCAUUGUCCUGUCUGAAAUUGUUGUUUGGCCCAGAAGGAGACUUACAAGGUAGAAUGCAGGCAUAGAUCCUGUAAGCUUGUUGUUUGAGCCAGCCUCACAGACUGGUGGGUGUGCAGUUCUCACUGGGCUGAUAUCCACCUGGACUAAUUUUGCUGUGAGUGACUAAUAGAACUGGAUGAGGUUCUCCUUCCAUCUGAAGUUUUUGUCUAAGUGCUUGGCUUGGCUCCACAGACAGUGUUCUCACUGGUUUUUUGUCUGCUGGUGGUGCAGAUUGCCAAGUUUGCGUUGGGAGGAGGACAGCCAUCAUGCUGGGGACUCAAAACAUGAAGUGCUCAAGCCUCACGUUUCUACUGACCACUGCUAGCACUCGUGGGGUUGUCUAAGUAUAAAUCCUUGCCUCCUCUAGGAAAAACUCUAGGAAACUUAUACUUACUCCCAUUACAAUGCUAAUUCCUGUGCCUAUCUCUAAAUGACAUAACUUCAUCAAGGAUGAUUUGAGUUUUCAGUGGCCACUCUGGGGAAGACUUGACUAGAACAAAAUUGUUCAUUUGAGAAGUGCUUUAGAAAAAAAAAGGAAAGAAGUUUUCUCAGGCCCAAUGGGCAGCAUUUUUUAAUUGGUAUGCAAGGCCUCCAAAUGAAAUUCUGAUUUAAUAAUUGCUUCACUAAGAGUCUUUGGCUAAAGCUAAUGAGCAAUUUGACUAAAUUAAGCAACAACAAACUAGACUCAUUUCCCUGCUAAAUCCUUUUCCAUCCUGUCUUUCAGUUGCUUCCCUCUACUAAACUCUCCUUCAUUCCCCUUAUCUUUUUGAUGUCUCUUCUUACGCACCCCUAUCAACUCCUCCCUUAUUAUACCCCUGUUCAGACUCCCUCCCUUUUGCCUAAGACCUCAAACUGUAGGUUGCUUCCAAACUUCCACCUCUCCCAUGAGCCAGGUAUGCAGGUAACUAUAGAAUUUAAGUCUUGGACCUGAGCUGAAUUAAGGAUUUCUCUAAAUACAAAUUAGACCAGCAACUACUGGUAGAAGAAAUCAGAAUUAUAUUGAGUGCCUAUGAGCUGCAUUGCCCACCCUAUAUUAACCUCUUUUUUUUAUUGCUUUCCUAAAUUCUUUAAUUUGAAGAAGGAAGAAAUGAGCAUGAGUCAUUUAAAAGAAGUAGAAUUCAAAAGCCAGACUGGUAGAAAUGGGGUAAGUUGUGCUGCUGGUUAAAAUUCUCAACCAGGGCUUGGAGAAGCACAAUGGCCAGCAGCUCUUAGGUUAGUGACUUGGUUAGUCAAUAUCCAGGAUUGCAGAAGAUGUUCACUUGGCAUGCUGGGCACUCUUGGAGGCACCAAAGAAUACCUCUACUCAGCCUAUUGCUCCUUAGGAUAAAGCAAGAUGGAUGAUAUCUUCUAAGGCUUCCAUGGGUUUAGACCGACACCAGUCCUCAUGACUCCAGCAAGCUUUGGAUUCUGACAGUGGAACUGUAAGUGCUAAUGUGGGAAUCCAUGGAGAGGUUUGGGGGAAUUUGGGGGUGGAGAAAGAGUAAGCCAUGUGAAAUUGUACAUAAAAUUAUAUGUGUAUGUGUGCUUAUGCAUAUUUUCCUGAGGAUAGAGUCACUAGAGUUUAUCAGAUUAUCAAAAGGUCCUGAGUCCCCAAAAAGGCCAAGAACUACUUCAGUUUAGGUUAUGGCUGAGGCUUUGGGGUCUCUAUAAGUUUUCUAGUCUGAGUCCUUGAAGGUUCAGAUUCUUCCCCAGUGGAUGCUCCCUCCCAGAGCACGAGUCACAUCAGAGUGGCACUUUAUAGGACCAUGUGCUGUCUGAGCUGCCCUAUCUUCAGCGUCCUCAAACCACAAUUAUCAGACAAGAAUUUUGUAUCUAGCAAAACUAAGCUUCAUAUAUGAAGGAAAGAUACAGUCUUUUUCAGACAAACAAAUGCUGAGAGAAUUUGCCACUACCAAGCCACCACUACAAGAACUGCUAAAAGGUGCUCUAAAUCUUGAAACAAAUCCUAGAAACACAUCAAAACAGAACAUAUUUAAAGCAUAAACCUCACAGGUCCUAUAAAACAAAAAUACAAUUUAAAAAAGAAAAACAAAAACCAAAAAACCAAGGUAUACAGGCAACAAAUAGCAUGAUGAAUGGAAUGGUAUCUCACAUCUCAAUACUAACAUUGAAUGUAAAUGGCCUAAAUGCCUCACUUAAAAUAUACAGAAUUGCAGAAUGGAUAAGAAUUCACCAAACAACUAUCUGCUGCUUUCAAGAGACUCAUCUAAUACAUAAGGACUUCCAUAAACUUAAGGUAAAAAGGGUGGAAAAAGACAUUUUAUGCAAAUGGAGACCAAAAGCAAUCAAGGGUAGCUGUUAUAUCAGACAAAACAAACUUUAAAGCAACAGCAGUUAAAACAGACAAAGAGGGACAUUAUAUAAUGAUAAAAAGCCUUGUCCAACAGGAAAAUAUCACAAACCUAAACAUAUGUGCACCUAACACUGGAGCUCCCAAAUUUAUAAAACAAUUACUACUAGACCUAAGAAAUGAGACAGACAGCAACACAAUAAUAGUGGGGGACUUCAGUACUCCACUGACAACACUAGACAGGUCAUUAGACAGGUCAUCAAGACAGAAAGUCAAGAAAGAAACAAUGGAUUUAAACUAUACCCUGGAACAAAUGGACCUAACAGAUAUAUACAGAACAUUCCAUCCAACAACCACAGAAUAUACUUUUUAUUCAACAGCACAUGGAACUUUCUCCAAGAUAGACCAUAUGGUAGGCCACAAAACAAGCCUCAGUAAAUUUAAGAAAAUUGAAAUCAUAUCAAGCUGUCUCUCAGACUACAGUGGGAUGAAACUGGAAAUCAACUUCAAAACCAGGCAAAUACAUGGAAAUUAAAUAACCUGCUCCUUAUUGAUUUUUUUUUUUUAAUGAGAGAAGGUCUUACUCUGUCACCCAGGCUGGAGUGCAGUGGCAUGAUUAUAGCUCACUGCAGUCUUGAACUCCUGGGCUCAAACAAUUCUCCUGCCUCAGCAUCCAAAGUAGCUAGGUACUACAGGUGUGUGCCACAAUGCCUGGCUAUUUUUUUUUUUUUUUUAAAUUUUGUAAAGGUGAGGUCUUGCUAUGUUGUCCAAGCUGGUCUUGAACUUCUGGCCUCAAGCGAUGUUCCCACUUUGGCUUCCUAAAGCACUGGCAUUAUAGGUGUGAGCCUGGCCCCAACUUGUAUAGAUAUUGGUCAAACCUCAGAUGCUAAAGCCUAGAUGGCAAAAGUUGAUUAUAAUGACCUGGAAAAGGACUACAGAAUGCCUUUUUCUAUAAUAAACUCAAGGCUGUCCCCUGCCACCGACCCCACCCCCACCCCUCGCCAAAAAAAAAAAAAAGCCAGAACAAUAGGUCAACAUCUUCUAAAAGCCAUAUCUGAACUAUUUCUAGUAGAAAUGGUUUGGGUUAUAAUUAAAUCAUGAAAACAGAAAAGAUGCAACUAUAGAAGAUUUUCAGGACAGACUAGAAAACACCUUCCGACAACAUUCAGGAGUUAAAGAUGGCACUGAUGUAACAGUGGUCGUUUCAAUUCGUUUCGUCCUUGGAAUUAAAUGUGAAAUUACAGACCUAAUUGAAAACCAGAGAUCAGAAUGAGAAAUAGCCUCUUCUCUUGAACCACAACACCUUGGAGAGCAUUUUGAAAGAGUUUUAGAAUAAAUAUGAAAUAAGAACAAAAAUAAACUUAUAUUCUGUAAAUCAACCAGCUAAGUGGCCCACUUUCUAAUCAGUUAUCUACUGAUGAGGACACUUAUUGAAGGGAGACUGGAAAAAAGAUAGUCUGGUCAUGCAAAGGAAAAGCAAAACAAAGAAAAAUCCUUCAAUUCAGAUCAAUGAGCAUGCAUCAAGGAAGGAAAGAACUCACUAUCUUGCCUUACCCUUAAACAUUCAAGGUGAAUUAACAAUAAAUACAGAUGGUCAAUCUCUUCAAUUACUGGUAGAUAUGGUGCUACUCUCUCUAUAUUAAACCCUGCCACCUUUGCUCAACAUCUUCCUCAGAGUAAACAUACCACACAGGUGGUAGAUAUUUCAAAUAAACUAUAGCUUUUUUCUAUCUCUCAGCUCUUAUUGGUAACACUUAGACUUUUGACUGAAAAGCAUUCCUUCCUACUCUGUGAUACUAACCCCUGCAAAUUUAAUAGGAAGAGACUUACUUUGCAAAUGGAAUUGUCAUGUGAUAUGCACACUGGAGGGACUGUUACUUGAGGCUUUAGAGAACUCCUUUGCUUAUAAUUGGGGGAUUUCUGAUCUAGAUGUACUUUUGCCUUCUCUAUUGUGUUUGAUGCACACUGCAAAUAAAGAUCUUGAGACUGUACUUGACAUCCUAUGGGCUAAACAUUCCACUGAAAUAGGAAAAAUAAUUGGAGCAGAACCAACUAAAGUUCAGAUAGAUCUUACCAAACUGUUGCAAUUAUUUCCACAAUAUCCCUUGAAGCCAAAAGCAAAAGAAGGACUCAAAUCUGUACUUAAAAGCCUUUUAUCCAAAGGCCUUCUUGUAUCCUGGACUAGCUACUACAAUAUGCUUGUUCUUCCAGGAAAGACACCAAGUGGAUGAGAAUAUUGACUUGUCUAAGACACCAAGGCCACCAACAACAUUGUUAUUCUUCAAUGUGGCAGCAUCUAACCCAAAUAUCAAUAAUGUCGUUAAUUCCAUCUGAAGUCUCUUGCUUCACUGUACUGUAUCUUUGCUCCAUAUUUCUGCAGUGUGCCUCUAGACCAGGGCAGCCAAUAUCUUUUUGCCUUUACUUGUGGAAGACAGCACAGACCUGGAUAGUUAUGUUCUAGAGAUUUAAAAAAGUAAUAUUUUUCCUAGGUCUUAAAGACUGAAAAGAUCUAAAUUUCUCUUGUGAUUCAUAUUGUCAUUCACUCCUGCAAUACUCUAAGUCCUGCCUUUCACUUGCCUUUACCAGAGGAAGGGGAAACCUCAUGAUUGUCUUACCUCAUUUAGCGAACAGCCUGUGUCUCACUCUGAUUUAUUGGAGACUCCCACUGAGAACCCUGUCCUUGGAUUAUUGGUUGGUGAGUCAUGCUUCACAGCUGGAAGUGGAGGUUAUAAAGCAGAAUGUGCUAUCACCAAAUUAAGCAGUCCUCUGGAAUAUAGCUCUCUACCUGAGGCAAAAUAAACUCAGAUGGCAGAACUUCUUGCCCUUAGUAGAGCUUAUCAACUAGCCAAAGAACAGAGAGUAAACAUAUACAGUCAACCCAUCUGGUGUGGGCUCUGCACUCCUGGAUUCAACCAGGCAUGGAUUGAAAAUAUUCAGAAAAAAACAAUUCCACAAAGUUCCAAAAAGUAAAACUUGAAUUUGCCAUGCCCUGAGUACUACAAUGAAUCCACUCAAAUGCAGUAAUAUGUUGGCAUUAUAUUAAGUAUAUAAUCUAAAAUCUCUAUAAUCUAUAAAUUCUAUAAUUGGGUUUAUAGGUAUGUAAUCUCUGUAAUCUAGGGAUGAUUUGAAGUACGUGGGAGUAUCUACUUAGGUUAUAUGCAAAUACUAUACCAUUUUAUAUAAGGGACUUGAGUAUCCACGAAUCUUGGAUUAGUGUUUUAUAAUAGUGCUGGAUGGAACUAUCUUAGCUUUUUUUUUUUUUUUUUGUCUUUCCAUCUCUUCCUCCAUGUGAGGACACAGCCUUUGUCCCCUCCAGAGGAUGAAGUAACAAGGCACCAUCUUGGAUGGAGAGACCAGGAUCCUCAGCAGGCACUGAACUCGACAGUGCCUUGAUCUUGGAUUGGAGGUUUUAUAGGAUACGCAAUUCAUUCCUAUAGUAAAUGAUUAUAAGACCCUAAAGUAAGUUUUAGUAAAUUGAGCAAAGGUAGAACAUUUGUAAAAGUUAUAACUUUAUUUCAAAAUACGUCCAUGGGUACAGUCCAUCUGGUUGGACUCACCUUUACUCCAAGUCAUGGGCUCCAGGCAGGUGUGAUAUGCACAAACUCACCCCUGACUUUCUCUAAUCUUUUCCUCCCCACCCCUUUGCUUUUUCCUUUAAUCAUUACUCUCCUCAUUUUUUUCUUGUGACAUUUUUCUUACAAACUUUAAAUUUUUAGUGUAAGUUAUAGCACACUAUGAUGUAUGCAUUCACACAUACACACUUUUUUUCUAAGUGGGAAUCACUUCUUUUGCAAUGCCUUCCCUGACUUUUUUUGUCUUUGAUAUACUCCUUCUGUAGUUUACUUUUGUGACACUCUGCACCUCUCUCUCCUAUCAUUUGUCCUAGUUGCAAUUUUGUACUUAUUUUUUGAUGAUCUGAUUAACAUUUUCCUCCUUCAGUAGGCUGGAACUACGUCUGCUUUUUUCAUGAUUUAGCACCAAGCUUGAUUCAAUAAAUUAUUACUGAAUUAAUGAAAUAAAAGUAUUGCAAUCAUGUAAUUAUGGUAGUUCCCUAUUUUCACAUAUCUUUCCUCAUUAGGCAAUGCUGAUUUCUCAGAAGCCGGGGUUAAGCCUGACACACAGUGGAUGUUUAAUAAAUGUCCAUUGUUGAAAUGAACCAGUUGUAUCUGUCUAGUGUCAUUCAUUGUCCCAUUCAUAGCGGGAGCAUGAACCAAUGAAGUACCACCGUACCUGACCAAGGAGACGCAGAUGAGGAAUUACAAAGGAAAGAUGUGGCUGCAUCAGAGAAGCCUGCUCAAUUUUUUGCAGAAGAUGAAUGAUUAAUUCAUCACCUGCAGUGACACUGGACUUAUUAUCAUUUUGCUUUCUAAGGCUGUUUUACAAAUAACUGGUCGGUUAGUUAAGAAACUGGGAAAUUUUCAUUAUAAUAUAGUGAAAAAGUUGGUCCAGAAACUAGAGAUCUGGCUUCUCCUCUCUCUUUUGUCUUUAGCUAAAGAUAAGCAAAACUUUUUCACUCUCUGGACUUCAAUGUUCUCAUCUUAAAUAAAGGUUUUGGGACAAAAGUGUCUUAAAUUUCUUAAAAUUCCCUUGCCUUGUGAAGGGUGUAACAUUUGGAUUUUUAUUUUACUUAUUUUAGCCACACAUUCUUGCAAGUUUCAUUUCAUGGUCUGAAAAAGUAAAGCACUUCUAAGAAAGUAUUUAGAAGAUAGAAUGUUUCUGGUGCAAAACAUGGCCAAUAAAACUUAAGCGUAAUCAAAUUUUCUAUAUAUUUUCAUGUUCAACUUGUCUUCUCAAGCUAACUCACCACCGAUCACUCUUUGUGAAGAUAUUUAUCAAUUAAUCAUACACCUCCUGAAUUUUCUAGACCAGUAAAGAACUACAACACCUUGGAGUCCCACGAGCAUUUUAUGACAUGAAGAGCCCACGAAACAGAUUGAAAAAAGGGGGAAGCCUGUAGAAUAGAUGGCAACUUCACUAACAUCUUUAUUUAUUUUUUUAAAAUCGUAUCUACUCCUAUGCUCUAAUGAUCUAGAAUUUUCAGUGAAUCCCUGGGAAACUUAAAGAAUGCUGUGAGUGCAUUCUUUUUUAAAUAUUUAAGAAAAGAGACAUUUACUUUUAUAAAGAAGAACAUAUGGCCUUGUUUGUUACUGUGAAUCCUUGGUUCUAAUUACUGCUGUCACCCAGGCAUGUGUUCCCAACAUUAACCUUUGUCUGAACGAUUCUUAUCCCUAUGUAGGUGUAUUCUAUAUCUGCAUCUUCCAUUAAGCCCUCAGCGAACCAUUUAACACAUACAGACACACACACACACGUACACACAAAUUGACCCCCAAUUUUUUAGGUUUUAAUCCUCUUAUUUUUCAUGUGUUAAACUCAUGGGCCUUAUAUUUAAGUAUAUUUUUUGCACCUGCUGUCUGCCCAGACCCCUCCCUUAAUUGACCUGAGGUCUCUCCUCUCUCUGAUGCUGAAGGGUCUACUUAGGGUGCAAGGAUUUUCUAUACCGUGGUGGUAACAGAAAUGUAUGAUUGAAGUUUAUUAUAUGUCAAUGAUGAAAGGGAUAAUCCUGAUUUUUUAAUAAUGGGAUUUAUCCUGAUAACUUUGAAAUAAAUAAAAUAUAACAUUCAUCUUUGUGGCUUACUAAAACAUAGCUGUUAAUGGACGCUGUAUUCCCUUUAAAAUUUUCUUCUUUUUUUUUUUACUUUAUUCGCACACUUCUCCAUGGAAACCCUAAACAUUAAUUUAAAAAAAUGGUAUUAGUUUUCUUUGAGAUAAUAAAAUUUUAAUGUGUUGUAAUGAAUAAAGGGGAAAAUAAAUUUAUGAAACAAAUUGCUAUUAGAAACCUGUUUUCGAAGAAACUGAUCAAACUAUUAUAAAAUCAAUGAUCCUAAGACUUAAGUCUUAUUUUCAUAAAUAAUUCCUGCACAUACAUUGUGAAAAUUUAGUCUUUCUCCAAGCUCAGUGCCUAAUCCCACUCAAGGGUGACCACUUGGAGUGGAGCCUUGUCAAUACCCAAACAUGUGCCUUGCAUGUUGUGCACAUAUAAACACACAAGUUCGUAGUUUAUAUAUCAAUCCUCUCUUUUAGAACAGAAACAAGAGUACAGCAGAUAGCAUUGUUCUGACCUAGAAUCUUUAAAAAAAAACUCUAUGAACAAAUAUGGAAGCACGUUCUGCUUUUUGAAAAUUUUUUAGGUGAUUAUAUGGUGUAGACUAUAUAUAUUCUCUAUACUGCAUAAAAGGAGUUGUCAAAUUAUGGCCACAGAUCUACUACCUGUUUUUCUAAAUAAAGCUUUAUUGGAACACA